Molecule: long non-coding RNA, 1135 nt
Organism: Drosophila pseudoobscura
Lineage: Eukaryota; Metazoa; Arthropoda; Insecta; Diptera; Drosophilidae
Exons: 3
Source: RefSeq, a predicted model, not a curated record
GCUUGUGUUUGUGUGUGUUUCCCCCCCUUUUAGCCGCGUUUGCUUAUUGGCUUACCCGCACACAAAUCAAGGUUAAUAGUGGAUGAAUGGAUGGUUGGAUGGACGGCUGUCUGUGAGCAUGCGCACACCUUUCCAAUCAAUCAGUUUACACAAAAUUAGCAUACGGCCCCAACGCCCAACCAACGGUCACGUCACGACGACUCGAACAACUCCCAAAACAGUGGAAACCUGGGAAAUAUUCUGCACAUUGGCAUGGAAAAGUGAUCCAAUUGGGAAAGUUUAUGUUUCAAAGGCUUCCAGGAUACAAGCAAAAAAAAGGAACAACAAUGCACCUUUCAACCUCCUCCGCGCUCUGACAAGACAAUGAAAAGUGAAAUUGUCUCGAUAGAUAUUUCGUUUUGUAUUUGGAGGUGGGGAGUGGGGAAUGGGGUAUGGGAAUCAAUGAAAGUCACAGCCAAAGUGCAGAGGGAGUCGAUGCUCGCAUGUUCGCAUAAUCAUGCCAAAAACGGCAACAAAAGACCAAUGAAAAAGUGGCAAAACACAACGACACAAAAAGCCAGCCGAAAUGGAGAAAGGCAAAGGCAGACUCUCAACAUUGAAGGCCUCAAGAGCUGAGGAGGAGCUGAGGAGGAGCCACCAGCCCGUGCGAGUCUCAAAGCAUCACCUGCACAGAUCUGUGGUGGCACAGAUCUGAAGGACGUUUGCCCAAAAGGCAGGCAACUUUCACCAUUCGAGACCCCAACGACAGAGCCAGCCAGCCAGCCAUCCAUUCCAGAUAGACGUACCCGAUGUCAAUCAGAAAUGCCAUCCACAUCCACAGACGGACAGACGGACGGACGGACAGGUCUACUCGUACGGGUAUUUCAUUUUGCACAAUGCCCGAUUUCAUUGAGAAAUGCUGAAGGUUAAAAUGCAAUUGAAAGAAAUGAAAAUACAAAUAAUUGGGCAGACAUGAGAGGAAAGCUAAGAGAGGCUUCAACUUCAACUUGAAGCUCUCUGGCUCUUGUCACAGAUUUGCUUAUCAAAUUAGCCUCAAAUUGCGGCCAGCCAAGCGGAAAGUGGUGGCAAUUUCUGGCUUAAAGUGAUAGAAAAUAAUUCAAAAUAAUAAUCCCAUAUGAUUGGUAAUGUUUAAGCU